This 532-nucleotide ribosomal RNA is filed under the name Pteroptyx tener. RNAcentral's name for it is "partial large subunit ribosomal RNA". It matches the Rfam family "Bacterial large subunit ribosomal RNA", at positions 1845 to 2641 of the family's 2925-position model. The record is from RNAcentral. Lineage: Eukaryota; Metazoa; Arthropoda; Insecta; Coleoptera; Lampyridae.
AUUUAAGGUUUAAUCUGCUCAAUGAUUAUUUAAAUUGCCGCAGUAUUUUGACUGUGCAAAGGUAGCAUAAUAAUUAGUUUCUUUAUUGGGAACUGGAAUGAAUGAUUGGACGAGAAAAUUUCUGUCUCUUUAUUAUUUUAAUUGAAUUUUACUUUUAAGUUAAAAGGCUUAAAUUUUAUUAGAGGACGAGAAGACCCUAUAGAGUUUAAUUUUUAUUUAAAUAAUUAUUUUUAGUAUUUAUAUAUAUUAUUUAAAUAAAAAUUUAGUUGGGGUGACUAAAAGAUAAGAAUAACUCUUUUAAUUUUAAUCAAUUAUUUUUGAUUAUAAAAUCUUUAUUUUUAAUUUUAAAAUAAAUUACCUUAGGGAUAACAGCGUAAUUCUUUUUUAAAGUUCUUAUUAAAAGAAGAGUUUGCGACCUCGAUGUUGGAUUAAAAUUAAUUUUAGGUGUAGAAGCUUGAAAAUUAAGUCUGUUCGACUUUUAAAAUUUUACAUGAUCUGAGUUUAAACCGGUGUGAGCCAGGUUGGUUUCUAU